CGAGAGUGUCACCACUCCCAACCCAUUGUUUACCUACCCGUCCACCGUGCUUCGGCAGGCAGCCCUGUGGGGACAGAGCCUCGCCCCCCUCCGCGGGGGGUGCCUGCCGCUGGCCAACCAACAACUCUAGCUGUUUUAGUACCAUCUGAGUCUUCCACAAAUGAACA
RNAcentral lists this unclassified non-coding RNA (167 nucleotides) under soil metagenome. Its description in RNAcentral is "partial internal transcribed spacer 1". The record is from RNAcentral.